Molecule: long non-coding RNA, 202 nt
Organism: Phasianus colchicus (ring-necked pheasant)
Lineage: Eukaryota; Metazoa; Chordata; Aves; Galliformes; Phasianidae
Source: Ensembl
UUUCAAAGUUACUAAGAUUUGUUAACUUCAUUCUUAGAGUAUACGCAUGUGUGUACACGUCAGUAUAUGUACAGAUGGGUCAUCUAGUGCCAGUGAGCUCACCUGGACUGCCAUCCAGUUACCCUUCCUGAGACACUUACCUUUGGAUAAGUAAGGCUUCUCUGUGGAUGUGAAAGUGAAGAAAUGGCACCUUGAAUAAAAC